Sinocyclocheilus rhinocerous is the source of this 919-nucleotide long non-coding RNA. RefSeq lists it as uncharacterized. The transcript is spliced from 4 exons. The record is from RefSeq and is a predicted model, not a curated record. Lineage: Eukaryota; Metazoa; Chordata; Actinopteri; Cypriniformes; Cyprinidae.
GUUCUGUCGCCAGGGUGCCGCUCUCAGGGCUGAGGAGGGAGGUGUGGGAGGCGGUGGGAGUGUCCGCUGAGGGAGGGGUCACAGGAAUGCACGGUUCGCUACUGAGGGAGCAUUCUUGAGCCGAGCUGAGUGCAGCCGGACACGCUCUGGAAAGGAUCUCCUGCAUGAUCACAAACCUGCUUUGAUUGGAUUUGCACUUAAUCUGUUGGGAGCUCAAAGCCUCACAUUUACUGUGUUUGGAGGAUUUUACUGGAUACUGAUUCAGUCCCUGGAAAGGAUUGGCUCAGGAUGGACAUGUUCAAAGGGUAAAAACAAACACUUUGUCAGAGCUCCUAGAUUUUGGAGGGACCUAUCUUUUUUGUUUAUACAUGUAAGGAAGCAACUUUUUAACACUUCUGAUACUGGAGUGACUGAACUCUGAAAAGCGUUGGAUAGUUGAAAACAAAAAUUGGCAGUAUUUUGGAUGACACUGAGAGGGACCAGAGAGUUUAUCAUCCUCCUUUCAUCGUAUCAUUGGCAUUUUGGGUUGCUCUGACAAAUAGAGACAUCCCCCCCCCCUUCAAAUGAAGGUCUUGCUGAUGUUGCUAAUACCACAAAUGCGAGAGCAGAAAACACUGAGCACCAUGCCACAAGGAGGAGACAUUUAGAACCCAAGAAAGAUUGAAGGAAGCCUGAAGGAAAAAGCUGUUUGUAGUCACUUUUGUGCACUUGAGAGUGCAUCAGCACAAGUAAAGAAGAGCACCUCACCAUGUUUGCCCCGACGACAGCCCUGCCUCCUCCUCCUCCCCUCUUAACAGGAAGUGCUCUGCCAGUGCCCGGCGCGCCAGCAACAGCUCCUUACACAGAUCAUGACCUACUGCGGCAAGAGUUAAACUCUCGCUUCCUGGCCUCCCAGACUGUCGAUCGAGGAGGCGCCCAG